This 497-nucleotide ribosomal RNA is filed under the name uncultured bacterium. Its description in RNAcentral is "partial 16S ribosomal RNA". It matches the Rfam family "Bacterial small subunit ribosomal RNA", at positions 28 to 507 of the family's 1533-position model. The record is from RNAcentral.
GAUGAACGCUGGCGGCGUGCCUAAUACAUGCAAGUCGAGCGAACAGAUGAGGAGCUUGCUCCUCUGACGUUAGCGGCGGACGGGUGAGUAACACGUGGAUAACCUACCUAUAAGACUGGGAUAACUUCGGGAAACCGGAGCUAAUACCGGAUAAUAUAUUGAACCGCAUGGUUCAAUAGUGAAAGACGGUUUUGCUGUCACUUAUAGAUGGAUCCGCGCCGCAUUAGCUAGUUGGUAAGGUAACGGCUUACCAAGGCAACGAUGCGUAGCCGACCUGAGAGGGUGAUCGGCCACACUGGAACUGAGACACGGUCCAGACUCCUACGGGAGGCAGCAGUAGGGAAUCUUCCGCAAUGGGCGAAAGCUUGACGGAGCAACGCCGCGUGAGUGAUGAAGGUCUUCGGAUCGUAAAACUCUGUUAUUAGGAAAGAACAAAUGUGUAAGUAACUAUGCACGUCUUGACGGUACCUAAUCAGAAAGCCACGGCUAACUACGUG